Cricetulus griseus (Chinese hamster) is the source of this 341-nucleotide unclassified non-coding RNA. Its record names the gene 7SK. It matches the Rfam family "7SK RNA". From Rfam's summary of the family: 7SK was discovered as an abundant small nuclear RNA in the mid-70s but a possible function has only recently been suggested. Two independent studies have found that 7SK RNA binds the CDK9/cyclin T complex (known as elongation factor P-TEFb). NCBI's taxonomy places the organism in Eukaryota, Metazoa, Chordata, Mammalia, Rodentia, Cricetidae. The record is from Ensembl.
GGAUGUGAGGGUGAUCUGGCUGCAACAUCUGUCACCCCACUGAUCGCCAGGGCUGAUUGGGCUGAUCUGGCUGGCUAGGCGGGUGUCCCCUCCUCUCUCACCGUUCCAUAUGCGUCCCUCCUGGAGCUGCGCGAUCUCGGUUGGUCGGUGGAAGAGGACAACCUUCCCUGAAUAGAGGAGGACCGAUCUUUGGUCAAGGGUAUACAAGUAGCUGUGCUCUCCUGCUAGAACCUCCAAACAAGCUCUCAAAAGUAUAGACCUUGAACUACAGGUAGCAGCUGCCAAUGCUGGCAGCUUAUGCAAACUUGGACUUGAGUAGGAUCACCUGUAAAGGGAUGUUU